CGCUGGCGGCAGGCCUAACACAUGCAAGUCGAGCGGUAGAGAGAAGCUUGCUUCUCUUGAGAGCGGCGGACGGGUGAGUAAUGCCUAGGAAUCUGCCUGGUAGUGGGGGAUAACGUUCGGAAACGGACGCUAAUACCGCAUACGUCCUACGGGAGAAAGCAGGGGACCUUCGGGCCUUGCGCUAUCAGAUGAGCCUAGGUCGGAUUAGCUAGUUGGUGAGGUAAUGGCUCACCAAGGCGACGAUCCGUAACUGGUCUGAGAGGAUGAUCAGUCACACUGGAACUGAGACACGGUCCAGACUCCUACGGGAGGCAGCAGUGGGGAAUAUUGGACAAUGGGCGAAAGCCUGAUCCAGCCAUGCCGCGUGUGUGAAGAAGGUCUUCGGAUUGUAAAGCACUUUAAGUUGGGAGGAAGGGUUGUAGAUUAAUACUCUGCAAUUUUGACGUUACCGACAGAAUAAGCACCGGCUAACUCUGUGCCAGCAGCCGCGGUAAUACAGAGGGUGCAAGCGUUAAUCGGAAUUACUGGGCGUAAAGCGCGCGUAGGUGGUUUGUUAAGUUGGAUGUGAAAUCCCCGGGCUCAACCUGGGAACUGCAUUCAAAACUGACUGACUAGAGUAUGGUAGAGGGUGGUGGAAUUUCCUGUGUAGCGGUGAAAUGCGUAGAUAUAGGAAGGAACACCAGUGGCGAAGGCGACCACCUGGACUAAUACUGACACUGAGGUGCGAAAGCG
This 732-nucleotide ribosomal RNA is filed under the name uncultured bacterium. Its description in RNAcentral is "bacterial SSU rRNA". It matches the Rfam family "Bacterial small subunit ribosomal RNA", at positions 34 to 761 of the family's 1533-position model. The record is from RNAcentral.